This 408-nucleotide ribosomal RNA is filed under the name Yaginumia sia. Its description in RNAcentral is "eukaryotic LSU rRNA". The stretch from base 1 to 111 matches the Rfam family "5.8S ribosomal RNA", at positions 44 to 154 of the family's 154-position model. The record is from RNAcentral. Lineage: Eukaryota; Metazoa; Arthropoda; Arachnida; Araneae; Araneidae.
CGCAGCCAGCUGCGAGAUUUGGUGUGAAUUGCAGGACACAUUGAGCACUGAUUUUUCGAACGCACAUUGCGGCCUCGGGUUCUGCCCGGGGCCCCGCCUGUCUGAGGGUCGGAUAAGACUUGCAGAGGAGAGUUCGCCUCUCCAAUUGGCCGCGUCGGAGCCCUUCCGAGGGCUUCGUCGGCUCAAGUAACGACAGGAUCCUCCCCGGUCGAGAGAGCACAAGCCCUAGCGCAUGCUCGUCGAUAGGAGAAGACGGAAAACGUUUCUCCGAGAGGACGAGACGGUUUGUCGCCGAGAAGACCUUCGAAAGGGGAGGAGAGACUACACGGCCCCUCGCCGGGCCGUGGCACAAUCUUAACUUUGACGACCUCAGAUCAGACGAGAUGACCCGCUGAAUUUAAGCAUAUC